UGGGGAAUAUUGCACAAUGGGCGCAAGCCUGAUGCAGCCAUGCCGCGUGUAUGAAGAAGGCCUUCGGGUUGUAAAGUACUUUCAGCGGGGAGGAAGGCGUUAAGGUUAAUAACCUUGGCGAUUGACGUUACCCGCAGAAGAAGCACCGGCUAACUCCGUGCCAGCAGCCGCGGUAAUACGGAGGGUGCAAGCGUUAAUCGGAAUUACUGGGCGUAAAGCGCACGCAGGCGGUCUGUCAAGUCGGAUGUGAAAUCCCCGGGCUCAACCUGGGAACUGCAUUCGAAACUGGCAGGCUAGAGUCUUGUAGAGGGGGGUAGAAUUCCAGGUGUAGCGGUGAAAUGCGUAGAGAUGUGGAGGAAUACCGGUGGCGAAGGCGGCCCCCUGGACAAAGACUGACGCUCAGGUGCGAAAGCGUGGGGAGCAAACAGG
RNAcentral lists this ribosomal RNA (429 nucleotides) under Chloroflexota bacterium. RNAcentral describes it as "Chloroflexi bacterium partial 16S ribosomal RNA". It matches the Rfam family "Bacterial small subunit ribosomal RNA", at positions 355 to 776 of the family's 1533-position model. The record is from RNAcentral. Lineage: Bacteria; Bacillati; Chloroflexota.